Molecule: small RNA, 2528 nt
Filed under: Pan troglodytes (chimpanzee)
Lineage: Eukaryota; Metazoa; Chordata; Mammalia; Primates; Hominidae
Description: processed transcript
Source: RNAcentral
AACUCAUUGGCGCCAAGAUGGCGAUGGAGAUGAGGCUUCCAGUGGCUCGCAAGCCUCUUAGCGAGAGACUGGGCCGCGACACUAAGAAACAUCUAGUGGUGCCGGGGGAUACAAUCACUACGGACACAGGAUUCAUGCGGGGCCAUGGAACGUAUAUGGGAGAAGAGAAGCUCAUUGCAUCUGUUGCUGGCUCUGUGGAGAGAGUAAACAAGUUGAUCUGUGUGAAAGCUUUGAAAACCAGGUGAGAACAAAAGAUACAUUGGUGAAGUAGGAGACAUCGUAGUGGGACGAAUCACAGAGGUAACGUCGAUAUCAGAUUGGUGUUUACAAAGUCGAGGCAGGCUGGCGAUUUCAUUCAUGGGACAGUCAUUCCACUUGUAGUUACAUGAAAAAGGCAUUCAUUGCAUUUGGCCAUUGUGUGGCUUCUGAUGUAAAUAUGUGGCUUGUUCGAUUUCAGAUUACUGGUUAAUUUUUUUUUUUUUGAGAUGGAGUCUCGCUCUGUCCCCCAGGCUGGAGUGCAGCGGCACGAUCUUGGCUCACUGCAACCUCCACCUCCCGGGUUCAAGCGAUUCUCCUGCCUCAGCCUACCAAGUAGCUGGGAUUACAGGCACCUGCCACCACGCCCGGCUAAUUUUUGUAUUUUUAGUAGAGACGGGGUUUCAUUAUAUUGGUCAGGCUGGUCUCAAACUCCUGACCUCAAGUGAUCCACCAGCUUCGGCCUCCCAAAGUGCUGGGAUUACAGGCGUGAGCCACCAUGUCUGGCCUUACUGGUUAUUUAUGAUAUGACACAUCAACAUGGAGCAUGUGUCCAGGUGUGGAACUUGGCUUAUAGGUUCAACAGAAGAGGUGGAAGGUGGAGACCAACUCCAGGCUGGAUUCGGUCUUGCUGCUCUCGUCCAUGAACCUUCCUGGAGGAGAGCUGAGGAGAAGAUCUGCAGAAGAUGAGCUUGCAAUGAGAGGUUUCUUACAGGAAGGGGACCUUAUCAGUGCUGAGGUCCAGGCAGUGUUCUCUGACGGAGCUGUCUCUUUGCACACGAGGAGCCUGAAAUAUGGAAAACUAGGUCAGGGGGUUUUGGUCCAGGUUUCCCCCUCCCUGGUGAAACGGCAGAAGACCCACUUUCAUGAUUUGCCAUGUGGUGCCUCAGUGAUUCUCGGUAACAACGGCUUCAUCUGGAUUUACCCAACACCUGAGCACAAAGAAGAGGAAGCAGGGGGCUUCAUUGCAAACCUGGAGCCUGUCUCUCUUGCUGAUCGAGAGGUGAUAUCCCGGCUUCGGAACUGCAUCAUCUCUCUGGUAACUCAGAGGAUGAUGCUGUAUGAUACCAGCAUCCUGUACUGCUAUGAAGCAUCCCUUCCACAUCAGAUCAAAGACAUCUUAAAGCCAGAAAUAAUGGAGGAGAUUGUGAUGGAAACACGCCAGAGGCUUUUAGAACAGGAGGGAUAAGGAGGUGCUCCAGAAGCACGGGACUGUGGACCUUGCAGGAGUGAAGACUGUGAUGUGUGGUCCCCAUAUGUGGCUCAGCGAAGACUCGAGAGAUCAUCCCUUUGUCUGCCUUGACGGCCCUGUGACGGCCUCCAGCCCACAGGCCUGCUUUCUCCUGUCCUAACACCAAGCCUGGGUGGCAGAUGAACAGUGCUUCCUUGGGUUGCCAGCUGAGUCCCGGUAUUAGGGAAUAGUUUCAGCUCUUUCAAAGUGCACAGUGUUACAGUCGAAUGGGCUCCCAUCCUGGAAUAAUAUGGAGAAUCCUUUGUCUUCCACUCACUGUCAUUCACAAGGCACAGUGCCCCAUGAAAUUGCCCCAAUAGAAAACAUGGCAUCCCUGACCUCCAAAUGGUCUGUUUUGGCCUCCAUUCCUAUAUCCUUUAAAUGACUGAGAAUGCAGCUGGUGAAGUUGGAAGAAUAAAGUUAACCAAGCAGGCCAGGCGCGGUGGCUCACGCCUAUAAUCCCAGCACUUAGGGAGGGCAAGGCGGGCAGAUCACCUGAGGUCAAUAGUUCGAGACCAGCCUGGCCAACAAGGUGAAACCCCAUCUCUACUAAAAAUACAAAAAAUUAGCCAGGUGUGGUGGUGCGCACCUGUAGUCCCAGCUAUUUGGGAGGCUGAGGUGGGAGAAUCACUUGAACCUGGGAGGCGGAGGUUGCAGUGAGCUGAAAUCGCGUAUCGCACUCCCGCCUGGGUGACAGAGCGAGACUCUGUUUCAAAGAAAAAAAACAAGCAGCCUUUUGCUUGGUUGGAAUCUGAUUUUCUGUUGCGUGUUCCUUGUAGCCAUAGAUGUGAUUAUGUCCACACCGGGCUGCCUUAAUCUGUCCUGCUUGGAGAGUGACUUGUAAGAUGCUGAAUUAUUCAUGAUAAUAGAGUGAAUGUUCUGGGUCCAUGUACGCAGAUAAACAUGAAGAAAAUAAGCUGAGAAAAAUGGAGACUGGAAAAGCAAAGCUGUUUUCGUCCUAUAAUUGAAGUAGUGUGGAGCAUUAACUUGUGGAUAAUUCAGAGUUAAAAGAUAAAAAGACGCCAGAGUUCUCGCUGAAGAA